AACGAACGCUGGCGGCAUGCCUAACACAUGCCAGUCGAACGAGACCUUCGGGUCUAGUGGCGCACGGGUGCGUAACGCGUGGGAACCUGCCCUUAGGUUCGGAAUAACUCCCCGAAAGGGGUGCUAAUACCGGAUAAUGUCUUCGGACCAAAGAUUUAUCGCCUUUGGAUGGGCCCGCGUUGGAUUAGCUAGUUGGUAGGGUAAAAGCCUACCAAGGCGACGAUCCAUAGCUGGUCUGAGAGGAUGAUCAGCCACACUGGGACUGAGACACGGCCCAGACUCCUACGGGAGGCAGCAGUGGGGAAUAUUGGACAAUGGGCGAAAGCCUGAUCCAGCAAUGCCGCGUGAGUGAUGAAGGCCUUAGGGUUGUAAAGCUCUUUUACCCGGGAUGAUAAUGACAGUACCGGGAGAAUAAGCCCCGGCUAACUCCGUG
Molecule: ribosomal RNA, 433 nt
Filed under: uncultured bacterium
Lineage: Bacteria
Description: partial 16S ribosomal RNA
Rfam family: Bacterial small subunit ribosomal RNA
Source: RNAcentral